AGCGAGGGGCUCCUUGCUGCAGCUGGGAAGGAAGGGAAACACUUUUGCCCAGUUUCUGGUCUUUAGCAUGCACCCAGGGACCGCCUCUGUUGUAUUGGCUUGGGGUGGUGGUUGGACUAGAUGAUCUUAUUGGUCUUUCUUUCCAAUCCUAUUAAGACUUUGGUUCUAUCAUUUAUAGGUGGGGAGCGCCACCUGCUGCGGGCGAUGCACCGAGCGACCCUUCAACGUCUGUUACAUCGGCAUCAUAACUGCAUUGAUGGGAAAUGAAUACCAAAGUUGUGGUAUUUUGUAACCUCAGCCUUCCAACAGCCAUUCCAGUAGGUGAAGAGCAGCUGAUCGCCACUGCCAGUCAGAAGAACAUCUUAACUGACACCACCUGAAGAUAUUAACUUUCUGUUUAAAAAGAUGAACGGCAAAAACUGAUCUGUUAAAAUGACCUGUCUGGGAGUUGGGGACUCCUCACCAGUGUAUGGCCUUGCAGACCAAUCAGACCAACGACUGUCAGAGCCCUGUGGGCACUAAUGGCCUUAAGCAGCCCCACCUGUAGCCAUCAGCAGCUCAGCUGUAGCCCUAGAGAUGCCAACUGCUGCCUGUGUUUGUGUAAGGCUGAUCAAAGUGCACUUUGUCUUUGGAACAGCACUGAUUGAACCAGCACAAGGUUUUACAGAUUCAUCAGAGAAGAGGAUCUCUUCAGAGUCUGCUCGAUUGGCUCAGAAUAUUAGGAAGAAAGGAAGCUCUACGCAAGUUACAGUAUUAUAUCAGACAUCAUGGGAGAAUGUCUGUUCAGUACUCAGUUGAAACUGCCGUUAUGCCAGGCACGAGAGGAGCGUUGUUCCAAAGUUGUGUGGAUGUGAAAACAAACAAAAUGGAGCCCUGCGGAUUUCCAGCAUGCAUGAGUGUGAGAGACAAAGGCUCUUAGCAAGGAAACUACAUGAGUCUCUUCAUCUCGGCGUGGAUCUUAGAAAUACUGUAAGGAAACGUAACUUCAGCUAACAAAUCGGCUUGACAUGUCCCAUUAAGAACAAAAUCGCAACAUGGGGAACUGUGGGUAAUUCUCUGCCUUCUGUUUUCUUGGUUGUGCCGUAAACUAUUCUCAAAAUACGAAGGAGUGCCAGAAAUGACAUGCCAUUAGUGCCUCCAGGAGGACCUCAUUUACAUCCCAUUACCCGCCACGCCAAGAGCUGCUAUCGCUGCACAUCCCGAGCGGGACCAGGGCUGCCUGGCAGAGGAGAGGCUGGGGAGGCAGCGCCGUGCCUGCCGACUGCUGAUGCCAUGGGACCUCUUUUAUGAAAAAAGCAAUUCUCUGAUAAUCACCGCUGAAGCUGCAUCAUCAUUACUGUGAGAUCUGCUGCUCUGGACCGCUCCUGCGGGGAUACUGCAGUGCAUUUUUAUGAGGGAGUGCCGGACCUCCCUUGGCCAGAACGGUCAGGGAGGCUUUUCAUGGGAGUCCAAGGAAAAUCCAGGUGGGGAGGGGUGGUGGGCUCUGCUCCCACCUCCUGCAAAAAGCAGGCUCAGGCACCACUUAGGGCACCUUCCCAGGGCUAUCUUAGGGCUGAGAUAGCCUUCUCCACCCUCCCAAAAGUGAGAGUGAUUUUAAGUGCCUAGCCUGCUGACAGAGCUCCGUUUUCCUGAGCAUUUCACUCUGGGGAUGGAGUUUGGAUGAGAGAGCCCAGUCCUGCCCCAAGGGACGUCCUUGGGAAGGGGUGGCCUUAAAAGCCCUGGGAGGCAGCCCAGGGGUGGGAGGGCUUGGCUUGGGUGGGUCAACGUUGCAUGGCAUACGCACAGCUCUCAAUCUCCAGCGUGCAGUUCUGCUGGUCCAGCGGGUACCUCCGCAGGUCCAUCAUGCAGGCGGCCGUGGUGGUGAUCCUGAAAGAAGAUGGGAGAAAAAAAAAUAAUAAUAACAAUAACGAUUAUUUUUUAAAAAGGAGAAAUGAAAGGCAGAUGUGAAAGUCAGGCAGCAUUUGGGGCCGCUGUUUCCCUGGAAACCAGGGAGAGCCACGGUGGGAGAGUGGAGGGAGGUGUGCGGGGGGCUGGAUGCGGCUCACCCUCAACUGCAUGGCUUACACCCUCCGUGACUCACGUCAGCAAGGCAGUAUCUCUAUUAGCAGGGUGGGGAGGGAUUGGUGUUCCUCCUCUGUCUCUCCAGGAGAAAGACAAAGAAACUGGGAGUAGGCAGAGCUAUGAGCGGAGUGGGGAGAGGAGAGAGAUGUCAGCUUGUGAAAGAGAGGCUGAGGGCACAUGCCCGUAGAACAGAAAAACAUUGAUUACAUUGUCCUGCAGUGGCCUCUUUCCUCCCAAAUUGCCCCAAGAACCCCCACUGCAGCCCUCACCUAUCUGUGCCCCUCCAUCACACUCACUGCCCUCCUGCUCUUGCACUGUGUGCUGGUGGCUCCAUUAACAGAUUCACUCCUGUGCAAGUGAUUCCAUGGUCAAGAUUCACCUGAAGUGUAUAUGUGUGCAUCCCCUAGGAAAAUAAAUAUAGGGAGAGAAAGAGGGCUGGGGUUGUUUUAGAGGUGUCAGUGCCACACAGUACCUGUGGAGGGUUUACAUGCGUGUGGGUGUGUGUUUUACAUGGUGCACAUAAAGGAGCAUUGCUCUCUGGGUUGGGGCAUUUUGCAGUGGGGCAGGUGGGCUGCAGGCACAAAGCAGGGAGGCAGCAAUUCAAGCCGCUUACUGCCAGCCCUGAAUUUAGCAGGCUGUCCCCAUUUCUCAAAUUUAUUGCUCCCCUCACCCGUUAAUGCAGUUGUCUUCCUGUGCAGUGUAUGUGUGCAGAGUGCUGAAAAGGGGGGAGAGAUUGGUGCAUUCCUACCCCCCCCCCCUCCUUCUUUUUUCAAUUAACCAUCUGGAAGGCAUUAAUCAAGCUACACAUUUUUUACUAUGUAGGCAUAACCAGUGAACUGUUAACGAGAAAGCUUUAUCUUCUGAGCCCUGUGGAUGGGGAGAGAGAGAAAAGAGGGGAAAAAGAGGAAAAAAAAAAGAAAGAAAAAAAGACAAGAAGGCAGAUAGGAUGAGAUGGCGAACCAGCAAAAAAAAAAAAAAAAGCAAAAAGGAAAAAGCAUCAAUGAAAGAAAAAAGAGA
Long non-coding RNA from Gallus gallus (chicken), 3078 nucleotides. RefSeq lists it as uncharacterized. The record is from RefSeq and is a predicted model, not a curated record. Lineage: Eukaryota; Metazoa; Chordata; Aves; Galliformes; Phasianidae. The transcript is spliced from 3 exons.